UACUGAAGCCACUUCAUCUCCUACAACUGC
RNAcentral lists this non-coding RNA (30 nucleotides) under Homo sapiens (human). Lineage: Eukaryota; Metazoa; Chordata; Mammalia; Primates; Hominidae. The record is from RNAcentral.